UAGCUAGUUGGUGAGGUAACGGCUUACCAAGGCGACGAUCUGUAGCGGGUCUGAGAGGAUGAUCCGCCACACUGUAACUGAGACACGGUCCAGACUCCUACGGGAGGCAGCAGUGGGGAAUUUUGGACAAUGGGGGGCAACCCAGAUCCAGCCAUGCCGCGUGAGUGAAGAAGGCCUUCGGGUUGUAAAGCUCUUUCGGCCGGGAAGAAAUCGCAUGGGCCAAUACCCUGUGUGGAUGACGGUACCGGAAUAAGAAGCACCGGCUAACUACGUGCCAGCAGCCGCGGUAAUACGUAGGGUGCGAGCGUUAAUCGGAAUUACUGGGCGUAAAGCGUGCGCAGGCGGUUUUGUAAGACAGGCGUGAAAUCCCCGGGCUCAACCUGGGAACUGCGUUUGUGACUGCAAGGCUAGAGUACGGCAGAGGGGGGUGGAAUUCCACGUGUAGCAGUGAAAUGCGUGGAGAUGUGGAGGAACACCAAUGGCGAAGGCAGCCCCCUGGGUCGAUACUGACGCUCAUGCACGAAAGCGUGGGUAGCAAACAGGAUUAGAUACCCUGGUAGUCCACGCCCUAAACUAUGUCAACUAGGUGUUGGGUGGGUAAAACCAUUUAGUACCGUAGCUAACGCGUGAAGUUGACCGCCUGGGGAGUACGGCCGCAAGGUUAAAACUCAAAGGAAUUGACGGGGACCCGCACAAACGGUGGAUGAUGUGGAUUAAUUCGAUGCAACGCGAAAAACCUUACCUACCCUUGACAUGCCAGGAACUUGCCAGAGAUGGCUUGGUGCCCGAAAGGGAGCCUGGACACAGGUGCUGCAUGGCUGUCGUCAGCUCGUGUCGUGAGAUGUUGGGUUAAGUCCCGCAACGAGCGCAACCCUUGUCGUUAAUUGCCAUCAUUUAGUUGGGCACUUUAGCGAGACUGCCGGUGACAAACCGGAGGAAGGUGGGGAUGACGUCAAGUCCUCAUGGCCCUUAUGGGUAGGGCUUCACACGUCAUACAAUGGUCGGUACAGAAGGUCGCCAAGCCGCGAGGUGGAGCCAAUCCCAGAAAGCCGAUCGUAGUCCGGAUUGCAGGCUGCAACUCGCCUGCAUGAAGUCGGAAUCGCUAGUAAUCGUGGAUCAGCAUGUCACGGUGAAUACGUUCCCGGGUCUUGUACACACCGCCCGUCACACCAUGGGAGCGGGUUCCGCCAGAAGUAGGUAGCCUAACCGCAAGGAGGGCGCUUACCACGGCGGGGUUCGUGACUGGGGUGAAGUCGUAACAAGGUAGCCGUAGGGGAACCUGCGGCUG
Molecule: ribosomal RNA, 1288 nt
Filed under: metagenome
Description: bacterial SSU rRNA
Rfam family: Bacterial small subunit ribosomal RNA
Source: RNAcentral